AGAAGANNUGAUCCUGGCUCAGUAAGUCGUAACAAGGUAACCAGUAGAGUUUGAUCCUGGCCCGAUGAUCGUAAGUGGUCUCNAUAGAGUUUGACUGGGAUAACUCCGGGAAACCGGGGCUAAUACCGGAUAACAUUUUGAACCGCAUGGUUCGAAAUUGAAAGGCGGCUUCGGCUGUCACUUAUGGAUGGACCCGCGUCGCAUUAGCUAGUUGGUGAGGUAACGGCUCACCAAGGCAACGAUGCGUAGCCGACCUGAGAGGGUGAUCGGCCACACUGGGACUGAGACACGGCCCAGACUCCUACGGGAGGCAGCAGUAGGGAAUCUUCCGCAAUGGACGAAAGUCUGACGGAGCAACGCCGCGUGAGUGAUGAAGGCUUUCGGGUCGUAAAACUCUGUUGUUAGGGAAGAACAAGUGCUAGUUGAAUAAGCUGGCACCUUGACGGUACCUAACCAGAAAGCCACGGCUAACUACGUGCCAGCAGCCGCGGUAAUACGUAGGUGGCAAGCGUUAUCCGGAAUUAUUGGGCGUAAAGCGCGCGCAGGUGGUUUCUUAAGUCUGAUGUGAAAGCCCACGGCUCAACCGUGGAGGGUCAUUGGAAACUGGGAGACUUGAGUGCAGAAGAGGAAAGUGGAAUUCCAUGUGUAGCGGUGAAAUGCGUAGAGAUAUGGAGGAACACCAGUGGCGAAGGCGACUUUCUGGUCUGUAACUGACACUGAGGCGCGAAAGCGUGGGGGAGCAAACAGGAUUAGAUACCCUGGUAGUCCACGCCGUAAACGAUGAGUGCUAAGUGUUAGAGGGUUCCGCCCUUUAGUGCUGAANUUAACGCAUUAAGCACUCCGCCUGGGGAGUACGGCCGCAAGGCUGAAACUCAAAGGAAUUGACGGGGGCCCGCACAAGCGGUGGAGCAUGUGGNUUAAUU
This 923-nucleotide ribosomal RNA is filed under the name Bacillus sp. (in: firmicutes). RNAcentral describes it as "bacterial SSU rRNA". It matches the Rfam family "Bacterial small subunit ribosomal RNA", at positions 41 to 951 of the family's 1533-position model. Lineage: Bacteria; Bacillati; Bacillota; Bacilli; Caryophanales; Bacillaceae. The record is from RNAcentral.